AGUGAACGCUGGCGGUAGGCCUAACACAUGCAAGUCGAACGGCAGCACAGUAAGAGCUUGCUCUGACGGGAGGCGAGGGGCGGACGGGUGAGGGAUACAUCGGAAUCUACUUUUUCGUGGGGGAUAACGGAGGGAAACUUACGCUAAUAACGCAUACGACCUACGGGUGAAAGCAGGGGAUCUUCGGACCUUGCGCGAAUGAAUGAGCCGAUGGCGGAUGAGCUAGUUGGCGGGGUAAAGGCCCACCAAGGCGACGAUCCGUAGCUGGUCUGAGAGGAUGAUCAGCCACACUGGAACUGAGACACGGUCCAGACUCCUACGGGAGGCAGCAGUGGGGAAUAUUGGACAAUGGGCGCAAGCCUGAUCCAGCCAUACCGCGUGGGUGAAGAAGGCCUUCGGGUUGUAAAGCCCUUUUGUUGGGAAAGAAAAGCAGCAGGUUAAUACCCCGCUGUUCUGACGGUACCCAAAGAAUAAGCACCGGCUAACUUCGUG
RNAcentral lists this ribosomal RNA (492 nucleotides) under uncultured bacterium. Its description in RNAcentral is "partial 16S ribosomal RNA". It matches the Rfam family "Bacterial small subunit ribosomal RNA", at positions 29 to 507 of the family's 1533-position model. The record is from RNAcentral.